Molecule: ribosomal RNA, 873 nt
Filed under: Triticum aestivum (bread wheat)
Lineage: Eukaryota; Viridiplantae; Streptophyta; Magnoliopsida; Poales; Poaceae
Description: partial small subunit ribosomal RNA
Source: RNAcentral
AUGCAUCUUGAACCAUGUAGCAUAACAUCCCUAGGUGGUAUUAAUCCCACAUUUAGGGCUGAUAUGGAUGUGGUUCAUAUAGAUGAGAAAUGGUUUUAUCGCACGCGGAAGACCCAGAACAUGUAUUUGAGUCAUAGAGAGGAGGCACCACACCGGGAAUGUAAAAAUAAAAGCCACAUUCCGAAAAUUAUGUUCUUGUCCGCAAUGGCUAGACCAAGGUAUGAUGCUCAAGGCAAUUGUGUGUUUGAUGGCAAGAUAGGGGUUUGGGCUUACACAGAGUGGGUGCAAGCUAAAAAGAGAAGUCAGAAUAGGUUGAGGGGGGCAUGGGAGUUGAAGCCUGCAGAUACAGUGGACAGGGAGAAAAGUCGGGAGUACUUAGUGAAAUACGUACUGCCGGCUAUAAAGGAGAAGUGGCCUGAGAGCGAUAGAUGGAAUACCAUCUACGUACAGCAGGACAAUGCUAAGACUCAUAUAAAACCAGAUGAUCCACUUUUUUUGCAGGAAGCUGCUAGGGGUGGUUGGGAUAUUAGGAUGAUAUACCAACCACCUAAUUCUCCUGACACAAACAUAUUAGAUCUUGGUUGGUUUGCCUCAAUUCAAGCAAUGUUUCAUAGAAAGAUGCCCAAGACCCUACUCGAGAUUGUCCAAAAGGUUAAUCAAUCCCUAGCUGAGUACCCCCAUCAAAGGCUCAAUAGGAUCUGGUUGAGUCAUCAAGCGUGCAUGAGAGAGAUCAUCAAGCACAAGGGGUCUAUCCACUAUGCUGUUCCUCACUUGAAGAAAAAAGCACUAGAGAGACAAGGUCUUCUCCAGGUUCGUUUGACGAUUGACAGAGAAUAUGUCGAGCAGGCAAUUCAGUACUUGAACUCAACAUGA